UGAAAGAUAAGCUAAAAAAGCUAAUAGACUCAUACCCUAUAUAUGAAUAUACUUCUCUUUCUA
This 63-nucleotide transfer RNA is filed under the name Candidiopotamon okinawense. RNAcentral describes it as "tRNA-Met". The record is from RNAcentral. Lineage: Eukaryota; Metazoa; Arthropoda; Malacostraca; Decapoda; Potamidae.